RNAcentral lists this ribosomal RNA (447 nucleotides) under uncultured bacterium. RNAcentral's name for it is "bacterial SSU rRNA". It matches the Rfam family "Bacterial small subunit ribosomal RNA", at positions 330 to 793 of the family's 1533-position model. The record is from RNAcentral.
GCCAGACUCCUACGGGAGGCAGCAGUGGGGGAUAUUGCACAAUGGGGGAAACCCUGAUGCAGCGACGCCGCGUGAGUGAAGAAGUAUUUCGGUAUGUAAAGCUCUAUCAGCAGGGAAGAAAUAAGACGGUACCUGACUAAGAAGCCCCGGCUAACUACGUGCCAGCAGCCGCGGUAAUACGUAGGGGGCAAGCGUUAUCCGGAUUUACUGGGUGUAAAGGGAGCGUAGACGGCAAUACAAGUCGGAAGUGAAAUACCCGGGCUCAACCUGGGAACUGCUUUGGAAACUGUAUGGCUGGAGUGCUGGAGAGGUAAGCGGAAUUCCUAGUGUAGCGGUGAAAUGCGUAGAUAUCAGGAGGAACACCGGCGGCGAAGGCGGCCUGCUGGACCGCGACUGACGUUGAGGCUCGAAAGCGUGGGGAGCGAACAGGAUUAGAUACCCGGGUAC